Molecule: transfer RNA, 73 nt
Filed under: Phaeocystis antarctica
Lineage: Eukaryota; Haptophyta; Phaeocystales; Phaeocystaceae
Also listed under: 1 other name
Description: tRNA-Trp
Rfam family: tRNA
About the family: Transfer RNA (tRNA) molecules are approximately 80 nucleotides in length. Their secondary structure includes four short double-helical elements and three loops (D, anti-codon, and T loops).
Source: RNAcentral
AAAAGUUUAGUUUAAUGGUUAAAAUAUUGAAUUUCAAAUUCAAGGAUUAAAGGUUCGAUUCCUUUAACUUUUG